UACGGCUCAGUAACACGUCGGUAACCUGCCCUAAGGUCGGGGAUAACCUCGCGAAAGUGAGGGUAAUACUCGAUAGGGAAAUUCUUCUGGAAUGAUUUUUUCCCAGAAAUUCGUGCCUUAGGAUGGGCCGGCGGCGGAUUAGGCUGUUGGCGGUGUAAUGGACCACCAAACCGAAGAUCCGUACGGGCCAUGAGAGUGGGAGCCCGGAGAGGGACACUGAGAUACUGGUCCCAGCCCUACGGGGUGCAGCAGGCGCGAAACCUUUUCAAUGCGCGCAAGCGUGAGAAGGGAAUUCCAAGUGCUUAAGUUUUGCUUAGGCUUUUGCCAAGGGGGAAAAGCUUGGCGAAUAAGGGGUGGGUAAGACUGGUGCCAGCCGCCGCGGUAACACCAGCGCCUCGAGUGGGGGAGCGGGGGUGAUUGGGUCUAAAGCGUCCGUAGCAGGCUCCGUAAAUGCUUUGUGAAAUCGGCAGGCAUAACCUGUCAACAAAAAAAAUAACUGCGGGGCUCGAGACCGGGGAGAUGUCAGAAGUAUUCCUAGGGUACCGGUAAAAUGGGUUAAUCCUGGGAGGACUACCGAUGGCGAAGGCAUCUGACAAGAACGGUUCUGACUGUGAGGGACGAAAGCUAGGGGAGCAAAACGGAUUAGAUACCCGAGUAGUCCUAGCUGUAAACGAUGCGCGUUAGGUGUAUCGGUGACCACGAGUCACCGAGUUGCCGAAGAGAAAUCGUGAAACGUGCCGCCUGGGAAGUACGGUCGCAAGGCUGAAACUUAAAGGAUUGGCGGGGGAGCACA
Molecule: ribosomal RNA, 793 nt
Filed under: uncultured archaeon
Lineage: Archaea
Description: bacterial SSU rRNA
Rfam family: Archaeal small subunit ribosomal RNA
Source: RNAcentral